AUACGUAGGGGGCGAGCGUUGUCCGGAAUGACUGGGCGUAAAGGGCGUGUAGGCGGCGGUGUAAGUCUGGAGUGAAAGUCCCGCAUUCAAUGUGGGAAUUGCUUUGGAUACUGCAGUGCUAGAGUGCGGAAGAGGUAAGUGGAAUUCCCAGUGUAGCGGUGAAAUGCGUAGAUAUUAGGAGGAACAUCGGUGGCGAAGGCGGCUUACUCGGCCUUUACUGACGCUGAGGCACGAAAGCGUGGGGAGCAAACAGGAUUAGAUACCCUGGUAGUCCACGCUGUAAACGAUGAUGACUAGGUGUGGGGGGACUGAACCCUUCCGUGCCGCAGUUAACACAAUAAGUAUUCCGCCUGGGGAGUACGGCCGCAAGGUUGAAACUCAAAUGAAUUGGCGGG
RNAcentral lists this ribosomal RNA (395 nucleotides) under uncultured bacterium. Its description in RNAcentral is "partial 16S ribosomal RNA". It matches the Rfam family "Bacterial small subunit ribosomal RNA", at positions 523 to 917 of the family's 1533-position model. The record is from RNAcentral.